ACGGGAGCAAUCCUGGUGGCGAGUGGCGAACGGGUGAGUAAUAUAUCGGAACGUGCCCAGUCGUGGGGGAUAACGCAGCGAAAGCUGUGCUAAUACCCCAUACGAUCUAUGGAUGAAAGCGGGGGAUCGCAAGACCUCGCGCGAUUGGAGCGGCCGAUAUCAGAUUAGGUAGUUGGUGGGGUAAAAGCCCACCAAGCCGACGAUCUGUAGCUGGUCUGAGAGGACGACCAGCCACACUGGAACUGAGACACGGUCCAGACUCCUACGGGAGGCAGCAGUGGGGAAUUUUGGACAAUGGGCGCAAGCCUGAUCCAGCAAUGCCGCGUGCAGGAUGAAGGCCUUCGGGUUGUAAACUGCUUUUGUACGGAACGAAACGGCUCUUUCUAAUAAAGAGGGCUAAUGACGGUACCGUAAGAAUAAGCACCGGCUAACUACGUGCCAGCAGCCGCGGUAAUACGUAGGGUGCGAGCGUUAAUCGGAAUUACUGGGCGUAAAGCGUGCGCAGGCGGUUAUAUAAGACAGAUGUGAAAUCCCCGGGCUCAACCUGGGACCUGCAUUUGUGACUGUAUAGCUAGAGUACGGUAGAGGGGGAUGGAAUUCCGCGUGUAGCAGUGAAAUGCGUAGAUAUGCGGAGGAACACCGAUGGCGAAAGCAAUCCCCUGGACCUGUACUGACGCUCA
This 680-nucleotide ribosomal RNA is filed under the name uncultured bacterium. RNAcentral describes it as "bacterial SSU rRNA". It matches the Rfam family "Bacterial small subunit ribosomal RNA", at positions 73 to 749 of the family's 1533-position model. The record is from RNAcentral.